CUUUAUUGGAAAGAAUUCGAGAAUGCAUCCUCAUGUGCCAUUUGUGGGGCUUCAAGGUGGAGACCAUCUGACAAGUCCUUGGAUGAUGAUGUAUCAUCAUCAUCCAAAAAUAAAGGUCAAAUUUCUGUAAAAGUUCUACGUCACUUUGCCUUAAAAUCGAGACUUCAGAGACUAUUCAUGUCAUCAAAGACAGCCUCAUUAAUGACAUAGCAUC
This 214-nucleotide long non-coding RNA is filed under the name Elaeis guineensis (African oil palm). RNAcentral's name for it is "long non-coding RNA (EGUI_LNC050826)". Lineage: Eukaryota; Viridiplantae; Streptophyta; Magnoliopsida; Arecales; Arecaceae. The record is from RNAcentral.